Molecule: non-coding RNA, 84 nt
Organism: Jatropha curcas
Lineage: Eukaryota; Viridiplantae; Streptophyta; Magnoliopsida; Malpighiales; Euphorbiaceae
Source: Rfam
GUCAGGAUGGCCGAGUGGUCUAAGGCGCCAGACUCAAGGUCUGGUCUUCGAAAGAGGGCGUGGGUUCAAAUCCCACUUCUGACA